GAUGAACGCUGGCGGCGUGCCUAAUACAUGCAAGUCGAGCGAACAGACGAGGAGCUUGCUCCUUUGACGUUAGCGGCGGACGGGUGAGUAACACGUGGGUAACCUACCUAUAAGACUGGGAUAACUUCGGGAAACCGGAGCUAAUACCGGAUAAUAUUUCGAACCGCAUGGUUCGAUAGUGAAAGAUGGCUUUUCUAUCACUUAUAGAUGGACCUGCGCCGUAUUAGCUAGUUGGUAAGGUAACGGCUUACCAAGGCAACGAUACGUAGCCGACCUGAGAGGGUGAUCGGCCACACUGGAACUGAGACACGGUCCAGACUCCUACGGGAGGCAGCAGUAGGGAAUCUUCCGCAAUGGGCGAAAGCCUGACGGAGCAACGCCGCGUGAGUGAUGAAGGUCUUCGGAUCGUAAAACUCUGUUAUUAGGGAAGAACAAACGUGUAAGUAACUGUGCACGUCUUGACGGUACCUAAUCAGAAAGCCACGGCUAACUACGUG
Molecule: ribosomal RNA, 497 nt
Filed under: uncultured bacterium
Lineage: Bacteria
Description: partial 16S ribosomal RNA
Rfam family: Bacterial small subunit ribosomal RNA
Source: RNAcentral